RNAcentral lists this long non-coding RNA (5963 nucleotides) under Gossypium barbadense (sea-island cotton). RNAcentral's name for it is "long non-coding RNA (GBAR_LNC004753)". Lineage: Eukaryota; Viridiplantae; Streptophyta; Magnoliopsida; Malvales; Malvaceae. The record is from RNAcentral.
GGUUUAUGUGGGCUUAAUGGCUAUUGCGUUAAUGUAGAUAGAGAAGCUGAUUGUAGAUGUCUUCCAGGAUUUGCUCCAGUUAUAGAAGGAAACUUCACUGCUGGCUGCGAGAGGAAUUUCUCCAGCGACAACUGUAAAAACAAUGAUGGGAAAAUCCAGUAUACCAUUCAGGCAGCUGAAAACACUGUAUGGGAAGAUACUGGAUAUUCUGAGGUGACUUCAACAACCAGAGAAGAAUGUGAGGCAGCAUGUUAUGAGGAUUGCAACUGUGAGGCUGCCAUGUUUAAUGAUGGAAAAUGCACGAAGCAAAGGCUUCCUUUGAGAUAUGGGAGAAGGGAUCUUAGCGUUUCAAACAUCGCUUUGAUCAAGGUAGGUAUAUAUUCAUCCAUUAAUGAACCAAGAAAACAUGCUGAUGAACCUAAAGAUGGGAAUGGGAAAGUUCAUACGGAUAUUUUAAUUAUAGGGCUUUCGCUGAUUGGUUUUGCAAUCAUGGUGUUGGUAAUUUCUGGGGCUUUGAUUCUUAGGAGUCGUGUUUUCAGAUACAAAAGGUUUUCUACAGACAGCAAUAUAAGAUUGUGCGAGAACGUUGCUCCUAUUUCGUUUAGUUUUGCAGAAAUCGAGGCGAUGACUGAUAAUUUCCAGGAAGAAAUCGGGAAAGGAGCAUUUGGGACCGUUUUCAAAGGGACGGUAAUGUUGAAUGGUUUAACAAAAGUUGUGGCAGUGAAGAGAUUGGACAACAUAUCAAACCAAGGCGAACGAGAGUUCCAAAACGAGAUGCGAAUCAUUGGGAGAACUCAUCAUCGAAACUUAGUUCGACUACUAGGAUACUGCCAUGAUGGAGCUAAUAGGCUGUUGAUAUACGAGUACAUGAUCAAUGGAUCACUUUCCGAUGUACUCUUUACACCCGAAAGACGACCUUGUUGGAUCGAUAGGGUGGAAAUCGCUCGCGACGUAGCUCGAGGUCUCCUCUAUCUUCAUGAAGAAUGCGAUACGCAAAUAAUCCAUUGUGACAUCAAGUCUCAGAACAUACUAAUGGACGAAAACGGGCAAGCAAAAAUAUCCGAUUUCGGAUUGGCCAAGUUGCUAAAGUCGGACCAAACCAAGACCUUCACUGGGAUCAGAGGAACAAGGGGUUACGUUGCACCAGAGUGGCACAGGAAACUACCGGUGACAGUGAAAGCAGAUGUUUACAGCUUCGGGAUCGUAUUAUUGGAGAUCAUAUGUUGUCGACGGAGUGUAAAUUGGAGCCUCAAGGACGAAGCAGCUGUCCUUGAAGAAUGGGUCUACGAUUGUUACCAAGCCGGUGAGGUAGGGAAGAUAGUAGGGGAAGAUGAGGAGGUGGAUAUAAAACAACUUGAAAGGAUGGUGAUUGUAGGACUGUGGUGCAUCCUGGAUGAACCAACACUGCGCCCUUCCAUGAAGAAGGUACUGUUGAUGUUGGAAGGGACAGUUGAGAUCCCCAUACCUCCCUGCCCGACUUCAUUUUUCAGUUCUAUUUAGUUGUGUCAUGUAUUUUAGAUAUUAUAUUUGCUUUACAUUUUCAUCUUGAUUUUGUAUUUGCUGAAAUUGAUGAUUUCCUGUGCAAUAUCAUCUCCAUAAAUCAAGCUUGUAAUAUUACCUAACCCCCAAGGAAUUGGUCCUUACUGCUAUUGAUUGUUACAUUAAAACGACUCAUUGCCGGAUUAUAUGAACUUUCGAACUUGUUAAACAAUAAGGUUUUUUUACCAUUAGAGGCAAAACAAAGGAGUACAAGAUGGAUGUGUUCCCACGUUUUAAGUUCCCUUGUUUGCAACUUGCAAGGACUUUUCAGAAGAAUGUUUCCCAUAUGCACUGUGUUUCCACGGGGGCGUUAAACAAAGAUUAAAUUCUGAUGUUGGUCCCUGUACUUUGAGAAAGUUAUGUAUUUAGUCUCUAUACUUUUAUUUGAUCAAUUUUAGUCCCUAUACCUUUCAAAUUAUAAAACUUCAAUCCUCAACAAACGAUUAUUGUUAAUUCAUUAAGUUAAAUUUUACUAUUUUCAAGAUAUAAUGCGCCAAACAUAUUAUCAUAUGUGUAAUGCCAUGUUAGCUUGAUAUUUUUACAUAACACUCACUACAAAUCCAAUUAAAUGAUUAACGAUUAUUAUUUGCAUCAAAAUUAAAAUUUUAAACUUCAAAAAAUAUAGAAACUUGAAACGAUCCAAUUGGAUAAUAUAGACAAAAUCUGCAAUAGUAUGCAUAGUACAGAACUAGUAAUUGAGUUUAAUCAAAUGAAUUUUAACUAAUAUUAUCUGGGUUGAGACUAAAAUUUUAAAUUUUAAAAAGUACAGGACUAAAAUUAAUCAAAUUAAAAUAUAAAAACUAAAUCAAUAACUUUCACAAAGUAGAGGAACUAAUACUAAAAUUUAACCUUAUACAAACACAAGUGGUUCCAAAACAUUGACAAAAGUUGAGCAUGAGAAGAAAGAGAAACUGAUAAUGUGACCGAAAACUAAACCACUUAUAUUUUCUCAAAAAGAAAAACCCACUUAUGUCAACUUCCAUAGGUACGACGAGUUGACCAAGCCCUGAAUCUUGCAUUGACGGAUAUUAAAGGAUUAAUUGGUGUUUAAACCAUUUCUAUAUUUUAUAAAAAUAUUCACUCAAUUACUAUCAUUAUUAAAAUUUAAUCUUCAUCUGUUACCUCACGAAUGAAAAUUAUUUUCUUUUUUGGCAUAAUAAUAAAUUUAACUCUCCAAUAAUUAUAUAUUCUAUCAAAUUUAUCUUUAUUUUAAAAAUUCAACAAAUUUAACCCUUAACUUUAUACAUUCUUUCAAUUUAAUCUUGAUUCAUAACAUUUCGAAAAAAAAAAACUUUAAAUAUAUAUAUUUAAAUUUUUUUUUGAUUAAAAUACAUAAAACUUUAUAAAAACAAAUACAAGUUAUAAAUAAAUGAAUACAUUUUUUCUAUUUUUUAACAUGAUUUUUUAUUUGACUAAUAAUUUUAUAAAUAAAACAAUUUAAGAGAAAAAUCCAGAAAAAAAGACUUAAACAUAUUCAACUUUUUUUUUUAAUAUUAAUGAUGCCAUGUUCAAGUUGAUUCAAAAACUACUACUUGCGGGGUAAGCACAAUUGAGGAUAUACAUAUAAGAAUGAAGUUUUAGAGAUCCUGUCAAUGGAAAGUAAGUUAUGUUGGCAGCUCCACAACAGAUUUCUAGUUGGACUAAAGAACAAAAUUAAAUGUAUAAUAAAUAAAUUAUUAUUUAUAAGAUAAAAAUAAAAGGGAACAAAGUUGAAUAUUGUUUAAGCUUUGUUUAUAAGAUUUUCAAACAAAUAUGAAAUGACAUCUAUUUAAAAAUCUAGAUUCAGUUACAUCCAAUUCAAUCUGAAAGUUGAUAUUAAAUUUCCAGAACAACAUGUUAUAACCUUGAAUAAUGCCGAAUCAAAAUUUUUUGAGAAAUGUGGGUCAUCGGCUAUUUUUUCAACAAGUCGAAGUUUAAAAACAUAUGUUUAUUCAUCCAUUUCCAAGCUAAUCUAUCCUGACCCACAUCAGCAGAUAGAUGCACCAGUGCGAUAAUACAAGUACCAAUAUUAUCAGGAAGAAAGCUGCAUAAACGAGACCAAUCCCAGUUGCCACUAGCCGUCACCACAUCACACACACGUAGAGUAUCAUCAAGUUGCCCAACUCCUUGAAAUAAGCCCCUUCACUGUCUAACUUAACAAACCCAAACAUCAUUCCAGAAAUUUGUCAAAUGGCCAUCACCUAAUGACCAAAACACAUUUUUGAUCACAUCCGACCACACUUUUGUCAAAGAUCUCCAUAUGUAAGAGCAAUUGCUUCUAGAAAUGGCAAUCAGCAACACCCCAUGAAGUUUAUACUUGCUCCCAACUAAUUUCACCCACAGAGAGUCAGUGUUGGUUAAAAUCUGGAACCCCAAUUUCAACAUGAAAAUCUUGUUCUGAACAAUCAAGCUUCGGAUUCUCGACCCUCCGAAUUCAAGCGGUCUGCAACAGUCAGUCCAUGAGACAAGAGCUGGUCUCCUUCACUCCAAAGUUGAGCCCCAAAUGAUAUUACGAACAAUCUUUUCAAUUUCACUGCAAAUAGAAACCAGAAUACGAACUGUGCUCAUAAAUAAUUGGGGAUAGCAAGCAGAACUGAUUUUGCCAAAGUUAUUCUGACUGCUAAAGGGAGCUUCCUAGCUUUCCAACCAUUCAACUUAUUCCGAACAUUACUCACUAUAAAAUCAAAUGAACUCGUUGUAACUAUUUUACUCAACAAAGCAUACCAAGAUAAAUAUCCAACUCCUCAAUUAGCACCAUACCAAGUUACCAACAUCAUUGCAAAUCAUAUAUGCUAAUAAGCAAGUGUAUUAGGAAAAAAAAUAUCUGAGAUUUCUUUUUAUUCACCUUUUGACUAGAAAAUUGGAAAAAUAAACUGAGAAUUUUCAUAAAAGAAGAGAAGAUCAUCUGCAAAAAAAUAAAUGAGUUAGAGCAGGAACCCUUCUUGAAAGAAAUAAUGGAGACCAUCUUCCGUGUUUGACUGCUUCAUCGAUAAGACAUUAAAAUAUGUUGAAGGUUGAAAUUGAAAAUUUGUAAUUGGACUGAAGCAAUUGUGCAGAGACCAUUGCUAGUUAAAUAUAAAUUUUCCUCUCAAAUUAAAAAUAUCAGCUCAUGAGUGGACUGAAUUAGCCAAUCGAUGAUUGGUCCCCUUUGGAAAUCUACGCGUAUGAGUCAUGACCUACUUCUCUAGGACGAAACUGCAUAGUGAUAACUAUCUUAUCAAAAAAGUAAGAUGGAAAAUUCAUUCAAUGUAUUAACUCUCAAAACUCAUUAAACCAUAUAUAUAAAACGAUAUGCUCUGUAAUCAAUAGAGAUAUUAUACCAUUUAGGCCUCAGCCAAGGUCGCCAUUUCAUUUCUUUUCCUUGUGUGCUUCUUUUCCUUUCAUUUGCAUGCAGUAGCUCAACCAAGGAACUCCACUAUACGUUUGGGCUCAUCUUUGACACCCACGACCACCGGCAAAUCCGCAUGGCUAUCCCCUUCUGGUCUCUAUGGCUUUGGGUUUUAUCCCCAAGGUAAUGGCUAUGGUGUUGGGGUUUUCCUUGCUGGAGUUCCUCAAAGGACAGUGGUUUGGACAGCCAACCGAGAUGCUCCUCCUGUUCCAAGGACUGCUAGCUUGGUUCUUACAACCGAUGGAAGGCUCAUUCUUCAGUCACCGCCAAGACGAGACGUAUACAUCGUCACCGAUGCUUCUCAGAAAAUUGCUGCAGCUUCGAUGCUUGAUACUGGCAAUUUCGUAGUAUUCAACUCUGACGAGGACAUCAUAUGGCAGAGCUUCCAAUAUCCAACCACUAGCAUUCUACAAGGACAGCAUCUCUCAGCAGGGAUGGAGCUGUUCUCUAGUGUCUCGGAAACUGACCAGUCAACUGGUAUAUUUCGUCUUAAGAUGCAGCAUGAUGGAAACUUGGUACAGUACCCUGUGGACACUCCUGACACAGCACCUUAUUCUUAUUGGUCAUCCUUUACAGAUGGUAAGGGAGAUAACGUGAGCCUGAAUCUCGACAAUGAUGGUCAUCUGUACAUGCUCAAUUCAACAGGCUUCAACAUAAAGGAUCUAAACACAGGAGGGUACGAUGAUACAAAUAGAACAAUUUAUCUGAUGAAAAUUGAUUCCGAUGGCAUCUUUCGACUCUAUUCUUACAGACUCGACCGGAACGGCAAUCGAUCAGUUAUAUGGUCAUCUACGUCAGACAAGUGUGCACCCAAGGGUCUAUGUGGGCUUAAUGGUUAUUGCGUUGAUGUAGAUAGAGAAGCUAAUUGUAUAUGUCUUCCAGGAUUUGCUCCAGUUAUAGAAGGAAAUUUCACUGCUGGCUGUGAGAGGAAUUUCUCCAGCGACAGCUGUAAAAGCGAUGAUGGGACAAUCCAGUAUACCAUUCAGGCAGCUGAAAACACUGUAUGGGAAGAUAAUGGAUAUUCUGAGGUGACUUCAACAACCAGAGAAGAAUGUGA